This 6480-nucleotide long non-coding RNA is filed under the name Mus musculus (house mouse). RNAcentral describes it as "long non-coding RNA chr1:40238019-40244499". The record is from RNAcentral. Lineage: Eukaryota; Metazoa; Chordata; Mammalia; Rodentia; Muridae.
AGAAAAGAACAUUCCUCCAUGGCCUCUGCAUCAGCUCCUGCUUUCUGACCUGCUUGAGUUCUAGUCCUGCAUCCUUUGGUGAUCAACAGCAGUAUGGAAAUGUAAGCCGAAUAAGCCCUUUCCUCCCCAACUUGCUUCUUGGUCAUGAUGUUUGUGCAGGAAUAGAAACCCUGACUAAGACAAAUUGGUACCAGCAGAGUGGGGUAUUCCUGUGACAACCUGACCAUGUUUUGGGGAGGACUGUGGAAGGACUUUGGAACUUUGGGCUUGAAGAUCCAUCCGUUGUUAAGAGGUCUGUCGGAUGUUGUGUAGGAGCUUGGAAGAUAAUGUUGAGAACACUGCAGAAGAUGGAGGUCUGGUUUGUGAAAUUUCAGAGGCAAAAUUAAAGACUCUUUUCGGGGCCAUUGCUGUUUUGAUUGUGAAGUUUCUGUAGUUCUGGUUAGCUGGGGCUGAUGAAUCAGCUGUGAUUAACAAGAUACCAGAACUACCAAAGCAAAAACUUUGCAUUACUGGGACUAUUGAUGCUGGUUAGCUGGAGCUAAGAAAUUAGCGGGGAUUAAGAAGAGACCAGCAUCAUUGAGGUGACAUCUUCUGGGAAGUGUUUUCUGAAAGCACAAAGAGGCUGUGUUCCAGAGAUGGCCAAGGUUGUACUCCUGCUGCAGCGGGACUUGGUAAUAUGUAAGGGUCACCCAGGUGGUACUGGAUUUGAAGGCAUGAAGGGGUCAUGCAAAGCAGCUGAGGCUCGGCACGGUGAGAGGCCAUGGAAGGCCAUUGGUGAAGGUGCAACCUUGGUUGCAAUUAAAGACCCAGGAUUGAAGGGGUCAUGCAGUGUUUUGGAGAUGCCAGUACCAUGAGAUGACCACCAAGAGCAGCAGCAGCAGUGGAGUACAGGCAUCUGGAGCCUAGAGGACGACGCAUGUGCUACAAAGGGCCUGGCUGGAGAAGUGACCCAAGCCCUUGGAGGAGCCCAGAAGAUCGUGAGUUGGAUCCCAGACAUUGGACGGUUGGAGAUUGACUUUUGCUUUUGAUUGUGACUGUGCCCUGAUAUUUUCCCUCUUGAAGGAAGAAACUGUUUUAGUGGAGCCCACAGUUAAGAGACUUUUAAUUGUAAAAAGACUUUGGAUUUUAAAAGAGAUGGAUAUUUUUAAGAAUAUGUAAAGACUGUGGGACUUUUAAAGUUAUUUAGAUCUUGGGGAUGAAUAAGAUUGUAAGGGUUGAGGCUUACUAGUGAUGGUUUUGUGUGUCAAGUUGACAAGGGGUCAAUUGUACUGGCUAGUUUUGUGUCAACUUGACACAGCUGGACUUAUCACAGAGAAAGGAGCUUCAAUUGAGGAAAUGCCUCCAUGAGAUCUAACUGUAAGGCAUUUUCUCAAUUAGUGAUCAAGGGGGAAAGGCCCCUUGUGGGUGGGACCAUCUCUGGGCUGGUAGUCUUGGGUUCUAUAAGAGAGCAGGCUGAGCAAGCCAGAAAAGAACAUUCCUCCAUGGCCUCUGCAUCAGCUCCUGCUUUCUGACCUGCUUGAGUUCUAGUCCUGCAUCCUUUGGUGAUCAACAGCAGUAUGGAAAUGUAAGCCGAAUAAGCCCUUUCUUCCCCAACUUGCUUCUUGGUCAUGAUGUUUGUGCAGGAAUUGAAACCCUGACUAAGACAGAGUGAUACAUAUAUUUUAAAGCAGAAGGGUAAAGAGAAAGAGUCAGCAAGCCUAGCAUGCUAGAUCAGUUGUCUGAGCUGCCUGGGAGGCAGAGAGAGCUCAGGGUGGUAGGCUUCAACUUUGGAGACUGAGAUGAAGUUCAAGUGGAAUUUGCUCAACAGUAGUUAUUCAGCUAAUCUGGGUUGCUAGGAGAAUUGGAGGGUUUUGUUUCACUUCAAUGGGAGAAAAAAGAAGCCCAUGUUGGUUACACAGUUGGGAUAGCCUCAGCAUUGCAUCGACAGGGUGGGUGUAUGGUUUGGCUUUCAGUGCUGGACAGCCCCUCCCAUCUCCUCAUCUCUCAUUUUCUCUAGCCUCUAACACAUCCUAUGCUCUUAAGUGUACUCCUCCGAAGCAGAAAGGCCUUGUUUUGCCCCAGUAUCAUCUUGGUGUUGCUAGCAAUGGCAGCAAACCCCUGAAGACAGAAAGCAAAGUGAUUUGGAGGUGGUUGGUUUGUUUGUCCCAAAAGGAUUGAACAGUGCUGGGCUGUUGAGUCUUUGGGAAAUAUGGCAAUGACUAUUAUUUUAUUUUAUUUUCUAGAUAUAAGGGGAAAAAAGAAUAAGAGUUGGUCAGAUUUGGGCAUAAACAGAAAGUGAUUUGUUUUAACUUUUAAAUGUUUCUCAAUAUAUUGUGAAGAUUUUAAUUAUAAGAAAGUGCUUGGGUGGCAAAGGGGAGUAGAGAAAGAGAGGUUUUCUUAUAGCUGCGGUCUCUCUCUCUCUCUAGCUAGAUCUGGUUAUUGAUCACGUGACAUUGUUUAGAAGUGGUAAAGGAUACAAGAAAACAAAGAGGGUUCUGGAACCCCCUCUCCUGCCCGGGUUUGCUGCUCUCCAUUGGUAACGAAAGGGUGAAUCAUGUUGUUGGUCUGAUUGGUCUUGGGGAUUAUGACAUUUUCGGUGCAUAAUUUGCAUGUGGAUAGCUUCUCACUUCUGCUUCCUUGUGCUCUGCUGUCAAUUCAUAAUUCCCUUGUGACACUCAUUUGGCUGGACUUGAAAGAAUCUCAUAGAAAUGAGGAAGAAAAAGAAAUCAUGUUAAAAAGGUGGCGUUUCACCACACAAAGAAUCGAUCUACGUAAGGAAACAAAAUACUGAAGAGUCUUAGGUAUUUUCUCCUCUUGGAAGGCUAUAGUUAUAAUGUGUCAGUUUCAAAUAUUGGGCAAUACUAUGCCAUAACUACUCCCUGGGCAGGCUUGUGGAGCAGAGAGCUUCUAGCUGACUCCUCAUCUCCAGGCUAGGAAUUCCCAUGACUGUGUCAAGGUUUUUUUUUUUUUUCAUGGGUUUCGAGAUGAAAUUUUGGUCCCUGUGCUUGCUUGAGCCUCCCUAGUCCCCAUUAACUCCUUGUUUUCUCAUCAAGCUCUGUGACCAGUUUUGGAUAAAUAGUCAUUUUUUUUCCUAGUUAGAGCACCCCUCAGAUCAUAGCACCUUCCCUGCCAGUCUUUGAGGUAACCAUAUAAGAACCCCCCCAAAAGCACUUACUAUGUAAUUAAUAUCUACCACGGCCAGCAUUCCAUUUAUAUUUUUGCCUUCACUUAGGAUAGACGUUGUUAUUCCCAUGAUCAGAUGAAGAAUUGGGUAAGACUGAGCAGGCACACUGGGCAGCACUGGCCAUCUCCUCAGGCUUCUCCAACAAAAAUUUCAGGCAGUUGAAGGGAUAUUCACCCAGGAGCAGUUAGUGCUUGGCUCUUUUGUUGACAUCACAAAAUAAAAUAGAUGCACUGUCGAAUUUCUUUGGAUUUCCUGGAUCAUGAAACUGUUGUUGACAGUUAUUAAUGGCCCAAAGAGGCACUUGUGACCUGCCAUCCCUGAUUGCCCUGAAUGUUCCAUACUUAAUAAUAUAUUUAGAUUAAUUUAGGUUUUAUUCCAAGCCUGGAAAGUCCCCCUAGGAACACGUUAUAUGGAUUUCUCUGAAACAGCCUUUGAGUGUGGAAAUUGCGGGGCAGAAAACAUUUACUCAGUCCCACCUUCCAGGCAAGCACUUGUUUCAAGAGUCAGCCUCUUUUAUUAAGACCUUGGAAAACUACCAGAGUGGUUACCCCCUGAAGUUUCUUAUCAAGAUCAGACCAGAAUGCACAUAUCAUGUCUACCAAAGAAAUUCCUCUAUAUCUCUACAUAUGCACAAGUACACAUUAAUACAGUUUCUCCCUGUACAUAGCAUUGGUCAACAUUUCAACAUCUUAGACUUUUCUGGCAGAGGGAAACAUCUUUAUUUUAGGAGACAUAGGCAGACACCUUCAUUCUACUUAAAAGUGGGGGCUGGUCCCCACCAAGAUCAAGACAUAUUAAGAAAUUUGAGACAUUCAGCCUGCUCCCCAUCGUUGGCAAGGGGAGGCUGAUUGGUCAUCCCCAAGAGGUGAUGAUUCUAUGAAUAUUCAUGAGCUAGGGUUGGGAGAGUCUGGGUGUUGAGCAUGUCAUAGGAAGCCUGCCUGACAUGGACUCUUGAAGCCCCUUCCCAUAUACCUCUGUGUCUCAGCACUGGCCUGCGUAUGUGUCCGUUGUCAUCCUCUAUCGUAUGAGAUCUCACUGAAAAGUUCUCCUGUGUUCUGAAGUUAUCCUAGCAAAGUAUAGAAUAUGAGAAGUUGUAGGGUCCUUGACUUGGGGCAGAGGAGGGUGACAACCUUGCUCUGGAAGUUGGCAUUUGCAGCAGAGAAGGCUGCUUUUGAGACCAAGCCCUCUGAUUAUGGAGUCAUUAUUAACAUUUGUCAGUGUCAGAACUGAACUGAAUUGUAGAACACCCAGCUGGCGUCUGAGAAAUCCUUGCAGUAGGAUGAACAUCUCCAUGCAUCUGGUCACACUGGAUAUGGACACGCAGAACAAAACAAAAACAAAACAAACUAUUUUACACAUGCAUCUAACUUUGUCAAAAUAAAAUAGAGCCAACUCUGCAAAUAGAAAUUUAAGUAUGUAAGGGAUGCUUAGGAUAAAAUUUCCAUGCUGACAUUAUUAUAAGUGAUACCUUUCUUUGGAGAAUUUAAAUACAGUUAAAAGAUAAGCUCCUACUGGACUUCACAAACACUCCUUUGUCUGUGGGUAGUUUUCCUUUUAAAACACUCUGUGCUGCCUGGUAAAGCCUGGCUACUCACUGUGGAAACCAUAGUGAAAUCAGAGCCAAAAAACCCAGAGAAGACAUGUGCUGUCUGUAGGUUAUUGUUUAACCUAUCUUAAGUGCAUGAGAUUAACUUCUGGAUUGCAACUCAGUGACAUGGUCUCAGAGAGAUUUCACAUUCAGUUAAUAUACUGGGAAAUAUGUGGCAAGCCGGGUGCCAGAUGGCUUUCUCUACCAAACAGGGAUUUAGUUUGAAGAGACUUCAUGGAAAUUGCAUAACAAACCCAGGCUGUUAGCAUUUGGUUGAAUAGGUAGAUCUUAUUUAUUUUAAUUUCUUAGCUGCAUUGAGAUAUGAUUGGCAAAUAAAAGCUGUAUCUUUUAAAGAAAGAUAUUGUGGUGAUAUGAUGAAUUCAUUUAUUGUUGAAUGAGCCCUGAAAUCAUGUCACUUGGUCACUUGGCAUAUCACUUUAUAUGAGCUAUCAUUUUUUUUUUUUUGACUAUGGGCAGAACAUUUAUAACCAACAAAUGUGCACAGCAAUGUCACUCGUGAUUUCAAUCCAGAUAGUCACCCACAAGCUCAUGUUUUAAGGCUAUAAUUUGUGAGGUUAUUUUGCUAAUUAUCAAUUUUUAAAUAUUUAAUGUGCAUAUGCACAUGUGAGGUGCAUAUGUUUGCAUGUGUGUGAGAGUGAAAGUAUUCACCCAUGCAGGCAUGUUUAGAAGCCAGAGGUGGAUGUGAUGUGUCUUCCUCUAUCACUCUCUGCUUUAGUUUUUGAGACAUGCCCUCUCACUGAACCUAGAACUUGCCAUUUUGGGUAGACCAGUUGGCUAAUGCUUUGUCUUUACCCUUCUUUGUUCCUUCAACACUGGGGUUUUGUGACUCCGUAUCUGGCUUUCACAUGAGUGUUGCGGUUUGGACCAGGCACUCACUUAGACUUGCCCAGCAAGUACUUUGCCCACUGAACCAUCUCUCUUCCAGUACUAGUUUAAAGGUACUGCAGCUUUUGGCUGGUUGAAGUAGGUCAUUAAAACCUUGCCUUUGAAGUUUAUGACUGCACAAAUGUGUUCUCUCAAUUUUGGCAGCUCAAAGAAACGACAGUUUGGUUUCUAUAGCAAAUAGCCCAACAUUACAAGGCAGCAGACAGGCAAAACCCCCUUUUCUGGAGCAGCUCUCCCCCUCCCCCAGUAUAGCCAUGUGUUUCCCAUCAGAAUGGACUGAACAUUCUCUGAUUCUAUCACCCACAUACACUCCCUUAAUUUGCUUCUAUUGACUAUUGUGUCACAGUAAUAAAAAAAAGUAGCUAAUACAGUUGCCAUGUUGUAUCUCUGUGUGCAAGUUUAUAUAUAUAUAUAUAUAUAUAUAUAUAUAUAUAUAUAUAUAUAUAUAUAUCCUUUGACCCACAUCCCAUCACCUCCCCCUGCCCAGCUGUGUAUAAUAACCAUUUUGCUUUCUAUAAAGGAUUCUUGUGCUCAUUGCUCUGUGUGGGAGUUCUGCUGUGGUUUCCCUGUGCAAACUGACAUGGGCAAAUUGUAUAGAACAGCUCAACCCCAAAAGUCUCCCCUGGGUGUCAUAUCUUUUAUUCACUGUCCCAUGCAUUGAACGAAAUAAUUUCAGUACUCAUCUAGCUGCAUCAGCCCAUAACCCUAAGUGGUGCUUAAAGUGAAAGGACUUUUUUGUUUGUUUGUUUGUUUGUAGAACAGGAUUUUAAUAUUUUCAACUGUUAAUAUUCAACAAAUAAUAAUUAUUUUAAGGUAUAUUUUA